Molecule: transfer RNA, 62 nt
Filed under: Liposcelis bostrychophila
Lineage: Eukaryota; Metazoa; Arthropoda; Insecta; Psocodea; Liposcelididae
Description: tRNA-Lys
Source: RNAcentral
UUAAGAAUGACCGAGUAAAGGUGAUAAAUUUUUAAUUUAUUUACAGAGAUAUCUUUCUUAAC